RNAcentral lists this ribosomal RNA (1317 nucleotides) under metagenome. Its description in RNAcentral is "bacterial SSU rRNA". It matches the Rfam family "Bacterial small subunit ribosomal RNA", at positions 11 to 1335 of the family's 1533-position model. The record is from RNAcentral.
GUUUGAUCAUGGCUCAGAUUGAACGCUGGCGGCAGGCUUAACACAUGCAAGUCGAGCGGAGACUUCGGUCUUAGCGGCGAACGGGUGAGGAAUGCCUGGGAAUCUGCCUGUUAGUGGGGGAUAACGAAUCGAAAGGUUCGCUAAUACCGCAUACGUCCUACGGGAGAAAGCAGGGGACCUUCGGGCCUUGCGCUAACAGAUGAGCCCAGGUCGGAUUAGCUAGUAGGUGGGGUAAAGGCUCACCUAGGCGACGAUCCGUAGCUGGUCUGAGAGGAUGAUCAGCCACACUGGAACUGAGACACGGUCCAGACUCCUACGGGAGGCAGCAGUGGGGAAUAUUGGACAAUGGGGGCAACCCUGAUCCAGCCAUGCCGCGUGUGUGAAGAAGGCCUUCGGGUUGUAAAGCACUUUAAGCGGGGAGGAAGGCCUUGGGAUUAAUACUCCCGAGGAUUGACGUUACCCGCAGAAUAAGCACCGGCUAACUCUGUGCCAGCAGCCGCGGUAAUACAGAGGGUGCAAGCGUUAAUCGGAAUUACUGGGCGUAAAGCGCGCGUAGGCGGUUUGUUAAGUCGGAUGUGAAAUCCCCGGGCUCAACCUGGGCACGGCAUCCGAUACUGGCUGACUAGAGUGUGGGAGAGGAAGGUAGAAUUCCAGGUGUAGCGGUGAAAUGCGUAGAGAUCUGGAGGAAUACCGAUGGCGAAGGCAGCCUUCUGGCCUAACACUGACGCUGAGGUGCGAAAGCAUGGGGAGCAAACAGGAUUAGAUACCCUGGUAGUCCAUGCCGUAAACGAUGUCAACUAGCCGUUGGGGACCUUGAGUCUUUAGUGGCGCAGCUAACGCGAUAAGUUGACCGCCUGGGGAGUACGGCCGCAAGGUUAAAACUCAAAUGAAUUGACGGGGGCCCGCACAAGCGGUGGAGUAUGUGGUUUAAUUCGAUGCAACGCGAAGAACCUUACCUGGCCUUGACAUAUCCGGAAUCCUGCAGAGAUGCGGGAGUGCCUUCGGGAAUCGGAAUACAGGUGCUGCAUGGCUGUCGUCAGCUCGUGUCGUGAGAUGUUGGGUUAAGUCCCGCAACGAGCGCAACCCUUGUCCUUAGUUGCCAGCACGUAAUGGUGGGAACUCUAAGGCGACUGCCGGUGACAAACCGGAGGAAGGCGGGGACGGCGUCAAGUCAUCAUGGCCCUUACGGCCAGGGCUACACACGUACUACAAUGGUCGGUACAAAGGGUUGCUAGCCUGCGAAGGUACGCUAAUCUCAAAAAGCCGAUCGUAGUCCAGAUUGGAGUCUGCAACUCGACUCCAUGAAGUCGGAAUCGC